Pelobates cultripes (western spadefoot toad) is the source of this 338-nucleotide non-coding RNA. The record is from the annotation of a GenBank genome assembly. Lineage: Eukaryota; Metazoa; Chordata; Amphibia; Anura; Pelobatidae.
CUUCGCCAUCCCCGCUUGGCGGAAUGGGACCCGCCCAAGCAUAUAGCUAACUACCUAGCCCUUCGCAUGCGCACUCCUCUGUCCAAGGAGGGGAGCAGUAAACUACGGGCUGAAUGCCCAAGGCCCUCAGUGCCUGAUGCAGCGUGCAAGACGCCAGAGGUAGACCCUCAGAUUACUCAGUUACUGGCAAAAACGGGCUGGAAACCCAAGAAGGGGCUGGAGUUCUCACUCCAUAAUUGCCAGGACAACAUUUUAGACACCCUGGGGCCCGCUGCCAAGCUAUAUGAGCUAUUAGAGGCAGCUAAGGCGGGGGACAACCCCCUGGAUUUUGAUGAGGC